Molecule: ribosomal RNA, 738 nt
Filed under: uncultured bacterium
Lineage: Bacteria
Description: bacterial SSU rRNA
Rfam family: Bacterial small subunit ribosomal RNA
Source: RNAcentral
UGGGGACAACAGACGGAAACGACUGCUAAUACCGAAUAAGUUCCAAGAGCCGCAUGGCCCAUGGAAGAAAAGGUGGCCUCUACCUGUAAGCUAUCGCCUGAAGAGGGGUUUGCGUCUGAUUAGCUGGUUGGAGGGGUAACGGCCCACCAAGGCGACGAUCAGUAGCCGGUCUGAGAGGAUGAACGGCCACACUGGAACUGAGACACGGUCCAGACUCCUACGGGAGGCAGCAGUGGGGAAUCUUCCGCAAUGGGCGAAAGCCUGACGGAGCAACGCCGCGUGAGUGAUGACGGCCUUCGGGUUGUAAAACUCUGUGAUCCGGGACGAAAAGGCAGAGUGCGAAGAACAAACUGCAUUGACGGUACCGGAAAAGCAAGCCACGGCUAACUACGUGCCAGCAGCCGCGGUAAUACGUAGGUGGCAAGCGUUGUCCGGAAUUAUUGGGCGUAAAGCGCGCGCAGGCGGCUUCCCAAGUCCCUCUUAAAAGUGCGGGGCUUAACCCCGUGAUGGGAAGGAAACUGGGAAGCUGGAGUAUCGGAGAGGAAAGUGGAAUUCCUAGUGUAGCGGUGAAAUGCGUAGAGAUUAGGAAGAACACCGGUGGCGAAGGCGACUUUCUGGACGAAAACUGACGCUGAGGCGCGAAAGCGUGGGGAGCAAACAGGAUUAGAUACCCUGGUAGUCCACGCCGUAAACGAUGGAUACUAGGUGUAGGAGGUAUCGACCCCUCCUGUGCCGGAG